Molecule: ribosomal RNA, 373 nt
Filed under: uncultured organism
Description: partial 16S ribosomal RNA
Rfam family: Bacterial small subunit ribosomal RNA
Source: RNAcentral
GUAGGUGGCAAGCGUUGUCCGGAAUUAUUGGGCGUAAAGCGCGCGCAGGCGGUUCUUUAAGUCUGAUGUGAAAGCCCACGGCUCAACCGUGGAGGGUCAUUGGAAACUGGAGAACUUGAGUACGGAAGAGGAAAGCGGAAUUCCACGUGUAGCGGUGAAAUGCGUAGAGAUGUGGAGGAACACCAGUGGCGAAGGCGGCUUUCUGGUCUGUAACUGACGCUGAGGCGCGAAAGCGUGGGGAGCAAACAGGAUUAGAUACCCUGGUAGUCCACGCCGUAAACGAUGAGUGCUAAGUGUUAGGGGGUUUCCCGCCCCCUUAGUGCUGCAGCUAACGCAUUAAGCACUCCGCCUGGGGAGUACGGCCGCAAGGCUG